CUGACCUUCACUCAGGUUUCUGUCCAGCUUAUCUUCAGAAGCCCACAUGUUUUCACAACAGAAAGUACAGACUCUGUCAUCUUCGGCAAGUUGGGGAAGGAUGUUGAAUGGACCAUCUACUUCUGAGAGGCGAAGCCCCAGACCCAUCUGGAUGGGAGAGGCCGAGAUUGAGUGGGCAGUAAAGAACAAGCUUCCAACGUCUCUAAUGUGGACUACUGCAUUGCUCUUAACCAGUUUCUCUACGUCCUCGACUGUCCCUUCCAAUCCAUUCUUUACACAACUGCCAGAAGAGCCAAAAUGGAUCAAAUCACCACCCUUCUUAAAUCUUUUCUUUG
Molecule: long non-coding RNA, 335 nt
Filed under: Equus caballus (horse)
Lineage: Eukaryota; Metazoa; Chordata; Mammalia; Perissodactyla; Equidae
Description: lncRNA (ENSECAG00000046176.1)
Source: RNAcentral